ACGCACGCUGGCGGCGUGCUUAACACCUGCCAGUCGCACGGAAAGGCCCUGCUUUUGUGGGGUGCUCGAGUGGCGAACGGGUGAGUAACACGUGAGUAACCUGCCCUUGACUUUGGGAUAACUUCAGGAAACUGGGGCUAAUACCGGAUAGGAGCUCCUGCUGCAUGGUGGGGGUUGGAAAGUUUCGGCGGUUGGGGAUGGACUCGCGGCUUAUCAGCUUGUUGGUGGGGUAGUGGCUUACCAAGGCUUUGACGGGUAGCUGGCCUGAGAGGGUGACCGGCCACAUUGGGACUGAGAUACGGCCCAGACUCCUACGGGAGGCAGCAGUGGGGAAUAUUGCACAAUGGGCGGAAGCCUGAUGCAGCAACGCCGCGUGCGGGAUGACGGCCUUCGGGUUGUAAACCGCUUUCGCCUGUGACGAAGCGUGAGUGACGGUAAUGGGUAAAGAAGCACCGGCUAACUACGUG
Molecule: ribosomal RNA, 467 nt
Filed under: uncultured bacterium
Lineage: Bacteria
Description: partial 16S ribosomal RNA
Rfam family: Bacterial small subunit ribosomal RNA
Source: RNAcentral